Molecule: long non-coding RNA, 459 nt
Organism: Hydractinia symbiolongicarpus
Lineage: Eukaryota; Metazoa; Cnidaria; Hydrozoa; Anthoathecata; Hydractiniidae
Exons: 2
Source: RefSeq, a predicted model, not a curated record
UUUAGCUGCAUAUUACGUAUAUCUAAUUCUAUCUACUAAUCAAAUCUGACUUAUCAAGUCAAAUCUGUUCAAGUUAAUAUGGCUGGCCCAAGAUAAGAAUCAUUAUAGCUAGGGAGCGUCUAGAACUUUGUGCUGAUGUUCUUAUAAAACACAUUCUUAUAAAAGAAAGGGCGACAGCAAAGAAGAACAACGUGCAGCGAAAAGUAUCGCACACGAACAAAAUAACAGUUCUCUUCCAAAAAUACUAAAGGAAUUCCAAAGCUUUUUACUCACCGUGUAUGACUUUGUGCUGACGUAUGCUGACAUGUGUCGAAUAUUUUCAUUGCAAGUUUUUUUGGCCAGCUAUUUUUUACAUAUACUGAUUUUUCGGCAUGUAUUAUGCCGAAUUGAAGCUGUAGUGAUAGUAUUCUGUAUUUUAUUGAAAAUUUUUAUGCUCGAAUGAUUAUCAAUUGAAACAAA